This 435-nucleotide ribosomal RNA is filed under the name uncultured bacterium. RNAcentral describes it as "partial 16S ribosomal RNA". It matches the Rfam family "Bacterial small subunit ribosomal RNA", at positions 29 to 507 of the family's 1533-position model. The record is from RNAcentral.
AACGAACGCUGGCGGCAUGCCUAACACAUGCAAGUCGAACGGGUACCUUCGGGUGCUAGUGGCGCACGGGUGCGUAACGCGUGGGAAUCUGCCCUUGGGUUCGGAAUAACUCAGCGAAAGCUGUGCUAAUACCGGAUGAUGUCGAAAGACCAAAGAUUUAUCGCCCGAGGAUGAGCCCGCGUUGGAUUAGCUAGUUGGUGGGGUAAAGGCCUACCAAGGCGACGAUCCAUAGCUGGUCUGAGAGGAUGAUCAGCCACACUGGGACUGAGACACGGCCCAGACUCCUACGGGAGGCAGCAGUGGGGAAUGUUGGACAAUGGGCGAAAGCCUGAUCCAGCAAUGCCGCGUGAGUGAUGAAGGCCUUAGGGUUGUAAAGCUCUUUUACCCGGGAUGAUAAUGACAGUACCGGGAGAAUAAGCUCCGGCUAACUCCGUG